GUCACGGCGCAUACACGCGAGCGCUGUCUCGUGCAUCGAAAAAAGGCGGAGGCUUUCGAUUUUGUGUCUUCAUUCGUAGAUGGGACGUAGAUGGAAAUUCGUACAAGAUCGUAAAUACAGAAAGUUUUAACUUGGUGCCAAAAUGGGAAAUGGCUCAGUCAAACUGAAUCCCUUCAUAAAGGUCAACAGCUCAUCCAAGUCCAAGGUGAACGGUGAGUCCAGCGGAGCUCCUCACGUCCACAGGCUGAGGGUGGAGGAGCUGGAGAACCAGCUGAGGAAGAAAGAUGAAGAGCUGAACACCCAGCAGCUCCACAUCAAGCAUCUGGAGGAGCAGCUAGCCAAGCAGAGCCAAGCUGUUACAGACAUCUCUGAGGCUCUGAGGAGCAAGUGCCUCCAGAUGAGCAAACUGCAAGAAGCUCUGAAGAACCAGGCAGAUGCAGAAAGCUUGUCUUCACCCAAUAAGACCCAUUCCAGUGAACCACUCAGUGGUCUGCUCAGAGAUGCCCUCAACAAGAGGAGGGGAGCCAAAGCUGGAGUGUCUGCCGAACCUUCUUCCCGGACAUUUGACUUGAGAACCAUGCCCAAGUUUUACUUUGAGAGUGCUCGGAUCUGGAAAGAACCAAGUGUGAAGAAGCUCCUAACAGAUGCCUUGAACAAGAACCGAUAUCUGAAGAGGCUGGAACCUCAGCAGAUCAAAGACAUGGUGGAGUGCAUGUAUGAGAGAACCUACCAGAAGGGAGAGUAUGUCAUCAAGCAAGGUGAACCUGGAAACCACCUGUUUGUGCUGGCAGAUGGUAACCUAGACGUCUAUCAAAACAGCAAACUGCUCACAUCAAUCACAGUAUGGACAACCUUUGGAGAAUUAGCUAUUUUAUAUAACUGUACCAGGACUGCAUCAGUUAAAGCGGCCACUGGUGUCAAGACCUGGGUCCUCGACCGAGAGGUCUUUCACAAGGUCAUGCGAAUGACUGCCGAGGCGCGACACGAGCAGCACCGCAACUUCCUCAGAAGUGUUUCACUUCUGGCCAGUCUACCAGAGGACAAACUUACCAAGAUUGUUGACUGCUUGGAAGUGGAGUAUUAUGACAAAGGUGACUAUGUCAUCCGGGAGGGAGAGGAAGGAAACACCUUCUACAUCAUUGCUAAUGGAAAGGUUAAAGUAACCCAAAGCACAAAGGAUCAAAAGGAUCCACAGGUCAUCAAUUCCUUAAGAAAAGGUGAUUACUUUGGGGAGAAGGCCCUCAUCAGUGACGAUUUCAGGUCAGCUAAUAUAAUUGCGGAAGAAGAUGGCGUAGAAUGCCUUGUGAUUGACCGAGAAACGUUCACUCAAACCGUCGGCACUUUCGAUGAACUGAAGAAACAUCUUCAGGGCUAUGUUGAGACAUUAGCCCGUGAUGACAAGAAGAGAAACGCAAAAAGAUCGAGGAGUAGCACUCCUUCCGGCUCCACCUUAUCACUUGAUGUGUUACAGCUCAAAGAGAAAGACUUUGCAUCGACUAUAUCCUUCAGUAGCCUGGAGAUCAUUGCUACUCUAGGAGUAGGGGGGUUUGGCAGGGUGGAACUGGUUAAAGUGAAGAAUGAGAACAUGACUUUUGCUCUGAAGUGCAUUAAGAAGCAUCACAUUGUGGACAACAGACAGGAGGAGCACAUCCUCUCAGAGAGGAGGAUCCUGAGUGAGACCUGCUGCCCUUUUAUUGUCAGAAUGUACCAAACAUUUAAGGACAGCAAGUAUGUGUAUAUGCUGCUGGAGGCGUGUCUGGGUGGAGAGAUCUGGAGUCUGCUGAGAGACCGGGGAAGCUUUGAUGAGAAUACUGCAAAGUUCUGCGUGGGCUGUGUGACUGAAGCAUUUGAAUACCUCCACAACAAAGGAAUCAUCUACAGAGACCUGAAACCUGAGAACCUUAUGCUGGACUCAGAAGGAUAUGUGAAACUGGUUGACUUUGGCUUUGCAAAGAUUAUCAAGUGUGGCCAGAAGACGUGGACAUUCUGUGGAACUCCUGAGUAUGUUGCACCUGAGAUCAUUCUCAAUAAAGGACAUGGCCUCAGUGUGGACUUCUGGUCAAUGGGAAUCCUGAUCUUCGAACUUUUGACCGGAAGACCUCCAUUUGCUGGUUCAGAUCAGAUGAUGAUAUACACUUUCAUCCUGAAGGGCAUGGAAAAGAUGGACUUCCCAAAGACCAUCACCAAGAGGCCAGGGGACCUUAUACGAAAGCUCUGCAAACAAAACCCAUCAGAGCGUCUUGGCAAUAUGAAGAAUGGAAUAGCAGAUAUCAAGAAGCACAGGUGGUUUACUAGUUUCAGCUGGGCUGGACUGAAAGACAGAACUUUGAUGUCCCCGUUAAAAAGAGAGCUGAAAGGGCCUAUGGACCACAGCUACUUUGAUAGCUACCCACCUGAAGACGAUCUUCCCCCAGAUGAACUUUCUGGUUGGGAUAUGGACUUCUAGCCUCUCUCACCCCACCGUGACUUACCUCAGUGUGAUCCAAGGCCAAACCUCCCCUGGCAUCCCGAUCCCCCAACCAUGAAGCCAUUGUGAUUGCAAUGUAUGCCACAACAUUCUUUCACAAAGCACUGCCUUCAUAGCCAAGCCAUGUUUGUGGUGGGGUAGGUGGCAGACUGAAAAGAAGGUAGGUGGAGGGGGGAAUGUGGCAUUUGAGUUAAACUGGGACUGUCUUGUUUGAACGAUGUCAGUUGCCUUGUUCAGUUCUGGUUCACACGAUAAAAUGAUCCAGUUGAUUUCUUCCUUUCACUUGGCUUGUCCACCUUUUUAGAGACACUGUCAAUCUCAAAUGCUAGGUAAGGUGGACCACAGAACUCUCUCCAAAGCUUUCCCCAAUCGGUCUCCUUGUAUUUGAGUCAUGGAUGUUUGGGCAGCAUGGGGAAUGGUAAUAUUUACCUUUUGACGUGGAGAAAUGAUGUGGACAAGCAAGAAGUAUUGCCAGUACUGAGGGGUUACUGCUCAUCCGAUUAACUCAAUAUUGUACUUUCAUAAUAAAAGUCAGAUGACUGAAAUAUAUACAAUUUAUUUAUACAAUAUAUACUUUAUUGAUGGUCUGAAGAGUGAUCUUACAAGUGUAGUGACCUAUGUAAAGGCAAAAAAUAUAUAUGUUUUUACCAACAGUGAGAAAAUGCAUUUAUAUUAUUGAUUGUUUGCUUUAUUUAUUUAAGGCUACAACCCAAUCUUGAUGAAGACUUGCCUUACCCCAAAAAUGACAAGAUAUGCUACAUACAGAAAAUAAAUAAAUGUUUUUAAAAGUCAUUUCCAUAUACAAAUAUAAUUUCUUAUGAAGCUUAUUAUACAAGCACCUAAAUCAUUUACAUAAUAGAUUACACAGUGUGGCAAAGGAAACCAUUCUAUAAAAAUAUAUUAUACAAAUAUUGAAGGAGUGCUCUGAAUCUUUUGGUAUUUAUGUGAUAUAUAUUAAGAUAAUUGCUCACUUUCACAUAUAUGCAUAUCUUCCUCAUCGGUUGCAUGUGUAUAAAAAAAUCAAACACAUUUAUUCACAUGCAUUAGAAAUAAUAAUAGCAUUCAUUCUAUGUAAAUAUAAAAAAGUAACAGGAAAAAGAAAAAAAUGACUGUACAUCAUGGACAAAAUGUCACAUGUAUAAACAUUUAUAUCAAAUUACUGAAUUAUUGUUUGGCAUUAUGGACAAGAGUUAAAUAUUCAUAUUACACUCUAAGCAAAGCAAACUUUCCUGAAAUGUGAACACAAUAUUUAUGUCUGACCACACAUUUCCCCAGGCAGAUUUUUUCUUUUCAUUUUGACAAGGCACUUUUGAAUACCUUUGUACGCAUCUUUAUAACAUAAAUCAUGCGUUACAAACAAGUCCCAGAAAUAGAUAAAGGCCUAUAUAUUUUCAAAUGUUUUAUCAUUACUACAUUUGUUCACAAGUUACUUGGCAUAUUGACCUUAUUACCUUUUUUUUAAGUUCACAUGAAUAAUACGUUUUGGAACGUUACCUGCCUAGAAAUGUCAGUGGGUCUCGGUAAUGACAGUCACACACAGUGGAAGACUUGAGGAUUUUUUCUGCCCUUCCUAUUUUGAUAUGACACCAAGUUCCAUAUUCUGUCACGUUAUAGUGGUUUCUUGGUAUUUACUAUUGCAGUCUAAAAUAAACAGUAAAAAGUACAGGUGAGCCAUUGGGAAAUGUCAAGAGGAAGCUUGACAUACUAGACAUUUUUGUAUGUAUGUAUAUGCGUGUGUGUG
Non-coding RNA from Electrophorus electricus (electric eel), 4208 nucleotides. Lineage: Eukaryota; Metazoa; Chordata; Actinopteri; Gymnotiformes; Gymnotidae. The record is from RefSeq and is a predicted model, not a curated record.